RNAcentral lists this transfer RNA (89 nucleotides) under bacterium. RNAcentral describes it as "tRNA-Ser". It matches the Rfam family "tRNA". Rfam says of the family: Transfer RNA (tRNA) molecules are approximately 80 nucleotides in length. Their secondary structure includes four short double-helical elements and three loops (D, anti-codon, and T loops). Further hydrogen bonds mediate the characteristic L-shaped molecular structure. tRNAs have two regions of fundamental functional importance: the anti-codon, which is responsible for specific mRNA codon recognition, and the 3' end, to which the tRNAs corresponding amino acid is attached (by aminoacyl-tRNA synthetases). tRNAs cope with the degeneracy of the genetic code in two manners: having more than one tRNA (with a specific anti-codon) for a particular amino acid; and 'wobble' base-pairing, i.e. permitting non-standard base-pairing at the 3rd anti-codon position. The record is from RNAcentral.
GGAGAUGUCGCAUAGUGGUCAAUUGCACACGCUUGGAAAGCGUGAGUCUCGCAAGAGCUUCAGGGGUUCGACUCCCCUCAUCUCCGCCA